UGGGGAAUAUUGGACAAUGGGGGAAACCCUGAUCCAGCGACGCCGCGUGUGUGAAGAAGGCCUGCGGGUUGUAAAGCACUUUCGGUGGGAACGAAAUAUGCCGGGCUAAUACCCCGGUACGGCUGACGUUACUCAAUGAAGAAGCACCGGCUAACUCUGUGCCAGCAGCCGCGGUAAUACAGAGGGUGCGAGCGUUAAUCGGAAUUACUGGGCGUAAAGCGCACGUAGGUGGCGACGUAAGUCGGGUGUGAAAGCCCCGGGCUCAACCUGGGAACAGCAUUCGAGACUGUGUUGCUGGAGUACGGAAGAGGAGGGCGGAAUUCCCGGUGUAGCGGUGAAAUGCGUAGAUAUCGGGAGGAACAUCAGUGGCGAAGGCGGCCCUCUGGUCCAGUACUGACACUCAAGUGCGAAAGCGUGGGGAGCAAACAGGAUUAGAUACCCACGUAGUCCCUGAGCGGGCUGGCAAGGCGCAU
Molecule: ribosomal RNA, 473 nt
Filed under: uncultured bacterium
Lineage: Bacteria
Description: bacterial SSU rRNA
Rfam family: Bacterial small subunit ribosomal RNA
Source: RNAcentral